UCCUUGUCGGGUAAGUUCCGACCUGCACGAAUGGCGUAACGAUGGCCACACUGUCUCCACCAGAGACUCAGUGAAAUUGAAAUUGCGGUUAAGAUGCCGUAUACCCGCGGCUAGACGGAAAGACCCCGUGAACCUUUACUGCAGCUUGACAUUGAACUUUGAUCUUACUUGUGUAGGAUAGGUGGGAGGCUUUGAAACCGAGACGCUAGUUUCGGUGGAGCCAAUCUUGAAAUACCACCCUGGUAAUAUUGAGGUUCUAACUCUGUCCCGUUAUCCGGGACGAGGACCAUGUCUGGUGGGUAGUUUGACUGGGGCGGUCUCCUCCUAAAGAGUAACG
RNAcentral lists this ribosomal RNA (337 nucleotides) under Thalassiosira minuscula. Its description in RNAcentral is "partial Bacterial large subunit ribosomal RNA". It matches the Rfam family "Bacterial large subunit ribosomal RNA", at positions 1966 to 2302 of the family's 2925-position model. Lineage: Eukaryota; Bacillariophyta; Thalassiosirophyceae; Thalassiosirales; Thalassiosiraceae. The record is from RNAcentral.